This 73-nucleotide transfer RNA is filed under the name Streptomyces hintoniae. Its description in RNAcentral is "Streptomyces sp. DSM 41014 tRNA-Glu". It matches the Rfam family "tRNA". Rfam says of the family: Transfer RNA (tRNA) molecules are approximately 80 nucleotides in length. The record is from RNAcentral. Lineage: Bacteria; Bacillati; Actinomycetota; Actinomycetes; Kitasatosporales; Streptomycetaceae.
GCGCGCUUAGUCCAGCGGUCCAGGACCCUUCCCUUUCCGGGAGGUGACGCGGGUUCGAAUCCCGCAGCGCGCU